AAUGGGUCAGCGACUUAUAUUCUGUAGCAAGGUUAACCGAAUAGGGGAGCCGAAGGGAAACCGAGUCUUAACUGGGCGUUAAGUUGCAGGGUAUAGACCCGAAACCCGGUGAUCUAGCCAUGGGCAGGUUGAAGGUUGGGUAACACUAACUGGAGGACCGAACCGACUAAUGUUGAAAAAUUAGCGGAUGACUUGUGGCUGGGGGUGAAAGGCCAAUCAAACCGGGAGAUAGCUGGUUCUCCCCGAAAGCUAUUUAGGUAGCGCCUCGUGAAUUCAUCUCCGGGGGUAGAGCACUGUUUCGGCAAGGGGGUCAUCCCGACUUACCAACCCGAUGCAAACUGCGAAUACCGGAGAAUGUUAUCACGGGAGACACACGGCGGGUGCUAACGUCCGUCGUGAAGAGGGAAACAACCCAGACCGCCAGCUAAGGUCCCAAAGUCAUGGUUAAGUGGGAAACGAUGUGGGAAGGCCCAGACAGCCAGGAUGUUGGCUUAGAAGCAGCCAUCAUUUAAAGAAAGCGUAAUAGCUCACUGGUCGAGUCGGCCUGCGCGGAAGAUGUAACGGGGCUAAACCAUGCACCGAAGCUGCGGCAGCGACACUGUGUGUUGUUGGGUAGGGGAGCGUUCUGUAAGC
This 633-nucleotide ribosomal RNA is filed under the name Escherichia coli. RNAcentral's name for it is "partial 23S ribosomal RNA". It matches the Rfam family "Bacterial large subunit ribosomal RNA", at positions 614 to 1248 of the family's 2925-position model. The record is from RNAcentral. Lineage: Bacteria; Pseudomonadati; Pseudomonadota; Gammaproteobacteria; Enterobacterales; Enterobacteriaceae.